This 1153-nucleotide ribosomal RNA is filed under the name Schistocerca damnifica (Carolina locust). RNAcentral's name for it is "partial 16S ribosomal RNA". Lineage: Eukaryota; Metazoa; Arthropoda; Insecta; Orthoptera; Acrididae. The record is from RNAcentral.
UUAUUUAUUUUAUUAUAUUUAUUUUUUGUUUAUUUAAUUAUUUAAUAAAAAUAAUUUUGUUGAAUUUUGUCUUAGUAUAUUUUGUAGAAUUGAUUUUUUAGAUUAUAGUUUAUUGGUAAUGUAAUUGUUUUAUGAAAUAUUAUUUUAAGUUUUAAAAAGUAUAUUUUAUUUAUUGUACCUUUUGUAUCAGGGUUUAUCAAAAUUUUAGUAUUUACUUUACUUGUCUCGAUUUGGGUUGAUUUAUAAAUAAUUUACAGUUAAUGUGUUAUAAUUAUUAUUAAAUUAUUUAUGGAAAUGAGAUGUUAAUCGUUUCCCAAGAUAUCUAGUUUCUUAAGAAAAAUUUUAAUUUUUUAAAGUUAAUUGUUUUUAUUUAAUUUUUUAAUUAUAAAUAUUAACUUAUUAAUUCUUUAAGGGAUAAGCCUUGAAGUUGAUAACCUAUAAUUUGUUUUAUAAAAUAUAAUAGUAAGCUUUAAACCAGCUAUCUUUAAGAUUACGUUUUAGUUCAUUAUUUUCUAUUUUGAUUUUAUAAUUAUUUUAGGUUUUUUAUUAAGAUUAUUUAUUUAAUUUUAAAAUUUUUGUAAUAAUGAUAGAAUUAGUAUAUUUAUUUGUAUAUAAUUUUUACCUUGUGAAUUUAUUAUAAGGAACUAGGCAAAAUUGAUUUCCGCCUGUUUAUCAAAAACAUGUCCUCUUGAAAAAUAAUUUGAGGUCUGGCCUGCUCACUGAGCGGAUUUUUAAAGAGCCGCGGUAUUUUGACCGUGCAAAGGUAGCAUAAUCAUUAGUCUCUUAAUUAGUGGCUGGAAUGAAUGGCUUGACGAGAAAUCAACUGUCUCUUAAUAAAUUUUUGAAUUUAACUUUUGAGUCAAAAGGCUUAAAUUUUUCUUUAGGACGAGAAGMCCCUAUAGAGCUUAMCAUUUUACUUUUAUAUAGUUUUUGUUUGUCUUUCUAUAUUUAAUGGUGAUGUUUUGUUGGGGUGACAUGAAGAAUAAAUAAACUCUUCAUUAUUAUAUCAUUUAUUUAUGUUUGUUGUUUUGAUCCAUAAUUUAUGAUCAUAAGAUUAAGUUACCUUAGGGAUAACAGCGUAAUUGUUUUUGAGAGCUCAUAUUGACAAAGCAGAUUGCGACCUCGAUGUUGGAUUAAGAAAAAUUUUGGGUGC